AUAAUUGGUAAAUUAUUUAUCAAACUAGAUCAGCUAUUACAUGUAUUAUGCACUACCAUUUAUUUUUAUGAAUCAUUAUUACCAAAAGAAAUAAAGAAACUUAGGCCUGCACAAGUAAGUGGAAACAAGAUGUAUAUGUUGUGCUGGCUGUAUGUUCUAAACCCCUCUAAAUCAUGUGUGAUUUAACAUUCCUCACAUCUCAGGCUUGACUAAAUUUAAAUCUAUUGAUUUGGUUGAUUUUUGCAGCAUUGACUUACUUCAAGGCAGACAAUUUUUGUUGGUCGAGGGAGCCAGAAUGCCAGAAGAAAUUGGAAUGCUAUUAUAUUUAUAUAAAGUUUACCAAUAAUGCUUGUGGUACUAAGCCAUUGUAUAGUGUCCCCCAAAGAGUGAAUGUCAUGCUUGAGCAAUAGAUCUUACAUUCAGGCUAUAUGUAUUGUCUAUGGUUCUCAGGUACAGGUUGUGUAUUUUCUAUAGUUCAUAGGUACAUGCAAUUUGUAUUGUCUCAGUUUUUUGUCUGUGGUUCUUGGGUAGAGUCUAUAUGAAUUGUCAGUGGUUCUUGAUAUAGGCUAUAUGUAUUGUUUAUGGUUCUUAGGUUCAGUCUAUAUAUAUAUUGUCUAUGGUUCUUAGGUACAGUCUAUAUGUAUUGUCUAUGGUUCUUAGGUACAGUCUAUAUGUAUUGUCUAAGGUUCUUAGGUUCAGUCUAUAUGAAUUGUCUAUGGUUCUUAGAUAUAGGCUAUAUGUAUUGUCUAUGGUUCUUAGGUUCAGUCUAUAUGUAUUGUCUAUGGUUCUUAGGUACAGUCUAUAUGUAUUGUCUAUGGUUCUUAGGUUCAGUCUAUAUGAAUUGUCUAUGGUUCUUAGAUAUAGGCCAUAUGUAUUGUCUAUGGUUCUUAGCUUCAGUCUAUAUGUAUUGUCUAUGGUUCUUAGGUUCAGUCUAUAUGAAUUGUCUAUGGUUCUUAGAUAUAGGCCAUAUGUAUUGUCUAUGGUUCUUAGCUUCAGUCUAUAUAUAUAUUGUCUAUGGUUCUUAGGUUCAGUCUAUAUAUAUAUUGUUUAUGGUUCUUAGGUUCAGUCUAUAUGUAUUGUCUAUGGUUCUUAGGUACAGUCUAUAUGUAUUGUCUAAGGUUCUUAGGUUCAGUCUAUAUGAAUUGUCUAGGGUUCUUAGACAUAGGCUAUAUGUAUUGUCUAUGGUUCUUAGGUUCAGUCUAUAUGAAUUGUCUAUGGUUCUUAGAUAUAGGCUAUAUGUAUUGUCUAUGGUUCUUAGGUUCAGUCUAUAUAUAUAUAUUGUCUAUGGUUCUUAGGUUCAGUCUAUAUGUAUUGUCUAUGGUUCUUAGGUACAGUCUAUAUGUAUUGUCUAUGGUUCUUAUGUUCAGUCUAUAUGUAUUGUCUAUGGUUCUCAGAUAAAGGCUUCAUGUAUGGUCUAUGGUUCUUAGGUUU
Mytilus californianus (California mussel) is the source of this 1431-nucleotide long non-coding RNA. RefSeq lists it as uncharacterized. The record is from RefSeq and is a predicted model, not a curated record. Lineage: Eukaryota; Metazoa; Mollusca; Bivalvia; Mytilida; Mytilidae. The transcript is spliced from 4 exons.